Molecule: long non-coding RNA, 585 nt
Filed under: Physcomitrium patens
Lineage: Eukaryota; Viridiplantae; Streptophyta; Bryopsida; Funariales; Funariaceae
Description: long non-coding RNA (PPAT_LNC003430)
Source: RNAcentral
AGGAUUUUUUUUCUAUUUAAUAAGAGCAAUUCUCUUCAAAUUUUGUUUAUUUUUUGCUAAUUUAGUUCUUAAAAAGUGUAUAAAAUUUCAAAAAAUAUUAAAAAUUUAAUUGAUAGAUAUUGAGGUUCUAAAUUGUGCUAAAGUUAGAUUGAAUUGAUUAGGUUUGGUUAGGAUUUGGUUUAAGAUUAAGGUUGAGUUAGGAUUUAGGAUUUGAUUAAGGUUUAGUUAGGGUUUAGGAUUGGACUAGGAUUUAAGAUUUUGAUUAGGAUCUGCUUAGGAUUUAGGAUUGGAUUAGAGUUUAGUAUUUGAGUUAAGAUUUGCUUAAAAUUCAAGAUUUAGGAAUUGUUUAAGAUGUAGGAUUUAGGAUUUGUUUAGGAUUUGGUUUAGUAUUUUCUUAGGAUUUAAGAUUUAAGAUUUUCUUAGGAUUUAGGAUUUAGGAUUUUUUAGGAUUUAGAAUUUGGCCUAAGGUUUUAUUCAAGUCUAUUAGGGUUUCAACUAGAAUUAAAUUAGGACUUAAUUGAGAUUUAUUUAAGAUAUAUUUUUUGAUUAUUCUGAAUUUCUUUUAUAGUUCUUUUAUAGUUUUUU